Long non-coding RNA from Gossypium arboreum, 325 nucleotides. RefSeq lists it as uncharacterized. The transcript has 2 exons. The record is from RefSeq and is a predicted model, not a curated record. NCBI's taxonomy places the organism in Eukaryota, Viridiplantae, Streptophyta, Magnoliopsida, Malvales, Malvaceae.
AAAAGAAAAGGGGUGAAAAGAACAAAGUUUUGUCCAUCUUUGUUCAUCAUAGCUGAAAGUUAGAGAAGAGAAAGGAGAGGAGAAAGCUCUUGAGUAUUCGGUCAUUAGGAGGAGAAAAAUUGAAGGAAAUCCCCAACCAUAGUGGGCUUGGAGUUGUGAGGGAAUUCGGAGUGGCCACCCGUUCUGAAAGUUUGAUUUUCUUCUGGUGAACUGGACAUCCUUUUAAUUACGUUUGAGGUUUUGGGCUUUUAAAUGUAAUAAGGCCGCUUAUUUAUUUUUGAUGGUUUUUAUAUGUUUUAUUAAGAUAGGUAAUAUUUAUAUUUAA